ACAGUGUGUGGGCGGCAAUGUUAACCAACACAAUUUAUACAUUGCCCGAUCAGCUGUGCUGCUAUAAACAUAAUCGUACGAUUUGCUUAAAACCGCUUUGCAUUAAUUUGUCCUAAUUUAUGGCAGCCAAAAAAGAGUGAGAAACCACAAAUAGACAUGCAAUCCACAGCUGCGUGUGGAUCCCAAUUCAGCUAACCUUGUGCGAAGGUCAAUUUUCCCCAAAAAAAUAUAGGAAACAUACCAGGAGAAACAACAAAAAAGGGAAAACGCACCCCCACGCUGAAAACCGGCGAGCACCUGGAGACGCAUACAUAUAAAAA
Drosophila erecta is the source of this 320-nucleotide long non-coding RNA. RefSeq lists it as uncharacterized. The transcript is spliced from 2 exons. The record is from RefSeq and is a predicted model, not a curated record. NCBI's taxonomy places the organism in Eukaryota, Metazoa, Arthropoda, Insecta, Diptera, Drosophilidae.